UUUCCGUAGGUGAACCCGCGGAAGGAUCAUUAUUGUAUAACCGAGGUGCGAGGGCUGUCGCUGACCCGAAAGGUCGUGCACGCCCGAGUGCCCUCACACACAUCCAUCUCACCCCUAUGUGCACCACCGCGUGGGUCCCCCUUUGGCUUGUUCGGAGGGGGGCUCGCGUUUUCACACAAACCCCCCUUUUAAAAGUGUAGAAUGACCACAUUUAUGCAAUCAAUACAACUUUCAACAACGGAUCUCUUGGCUCUC
RNAcentral lists this unclassified non-coding RNA (255 nucleotides) under plant metagenome. RNAcentral describes it as "partial contains small subunit ribosomal RNA, internal transcribed spacer 1, and 5.8S ribosomal RNA". The record is from RNAcentral.